UACGUAGUGGGCUAGCGUUGUCCGGAAUCAUUGGGCGUAAAGAGCGUGUAGGCGGCUCGGUAAGUCCGCUGUGAAAGUCCAGGGCUCAACCCUGGAAUGCCAGUGGAAACUGUCGAGCUAGAGUCCGGAAGAGGCGAGUGGAAUUCCUGGUGUAGCGGUGAAAUGCGCAGAUAUCAGGAGGAACACCAGCAGCGAAGGCGGCGCUCUGGGCCGGUACUGACGCUGAGGAGCGAAAGCGUGGGUAGCAAACAGG
Molecule: ribosomal RNA, 253 nt
Filed under: uncultured bacterium
Lineage: Bacteria
Description: partial 16S ribosomal RNA
Rfam family: Bacterial small subunit ribosomal RNA
Source: RNAcentral